This is a long non-coding RNA of Olea europaea var. sylvestris, 944 nucleotides long. RefSeq lists it as uncharacterized. The transcript has 2 exons. The record is from RefSeq and is a predicted model, not a curated record. Lineage: Eukaryota; Viridiplantae; Streptophyta; Magnoliopsida; Lamiales; Oleaceae.
GAAUUGCGCCGCUUGGACUAGGGUUAGGGUUUUAAAGAAAGCCGCCACUUUAUGCCCCUCGUAGUCUAUAAAACUUGUACAUCGCAAGCUUCAUCUCGGUAGGUAUUAAUCUUUCUGUAUUAUUUAUAUUUUCGUCUGCAUUUCUUCCAUUUUUCAUCUGUAAUUUUUUCUGCACUGAAUCUGUAAAUACAUGUAUAUUUAUGUUGUGUAUAUGUAUUAUUAUGACAGGAAAGGUUUUGUCAUUGUGGAAGAUCAGGUUGAUGAAUCUGUUACAUCCAACAACUCGGCAGAUAUUUCAGAUGAGGAUAUAUCAGAGACAAAUCCAGAGAACUUAUCAAUUCCUUAAUCCUCUACCAGCAGCUUACUUUGAAUUUGAAUGUUCCUUAAUUAUAGGAUUGUAGUUAGUCUCAAUUUCUAUAUAAGAGACUGCAUGAUUGUAAGUUCAACAUACAAAAAUAUAAAUUAUUCUCAUUGUCUAUAGCCAUUGAUCAAACAACCAAUCUCUACUAGAAAUUGGGCCUUCAGACCUUCGUAAACCUCUCCACCAAUUUCUACAACAGGUUGGCAAAAUGGCAGAGCUGGGGAUAUCCGAGUCAUUCAAGACAAUUAUUUUAAUGGUCGACGAAGUCAUCACUUGUGCCCCAUGGCAGAGAGAAGACAGAAUGUGAAGAAAUGCUUUAUUUAUAAGUGAAACUCAAGACAAUUAUUGCAAUGCUUUGUAUUUGUCUGUCGUGAAUCAGAUGGAAUGUCUUUGUUGAAGAACAGAGCCAUACUGAUUCUUUUGAAUGUUGAAAAUUUUGUGGGAUGUUAGCAUAUUUUGUUCCCUACAAUUCAAAUGCAGUUUAAAAUUCAUUUUUGCCCCCUUAUUACGAAGAUUUUAGUAUUAUGGGUGUAUUUAGUAUUUACUUGGCAGACUUUUUUUAUUCGAAAAUUAUAAAUGCUUC